AAGAAUACGUUUAUUUUGAUGUUAUCAAAAUAAACCCAAUUGUAAUAGAAUGCAAUAGUGUAGGCCGGAAAUAUGCGGCAAGCCGGUGACUACACACGAUAGCGCGCCUCUUUUGUAAAAUGAUUUUGAGGUCAAUAACCGAAUGUUUCCCAGCAGGUCGGCAAAUAUCAAACAUAGGCGCAUCUUUGUAGCCUACAUUGAGGUCACAAAGCCGAAUCUUUACCACGCGUGUUUUGUAAAUAUCAAUGAUAGGCGCGCUUUUGUAAUACAUAUCGGGGUCGCAAGGCAAGUGUUUCCCACGACGUGUAUUUUUACUAAUCAAUGGGUCAUUCUCAGCUAAUACUUCGUUUGAGUUGGUCGUGUUUUAUUGGACUCAGAAUUAUACAUGCUAAUUGUACACAGGUUGUCGCUGUUGAACUGACUGCACCGGUUUGUUUCUAUUAUCACUGGGUUUCACACCAAUACGCUGGAUAUUCGGAAUUGAACAGAGAGACAGCUACACGGGAUAUAAGGAUUAAACGGUGGAAAAGUUACACUGGAUAUCUGGAAUUAAACAGAGGAAGAGUUACACUGGAUAAUUGGAUCUAAAAAGAGAAAAUGUUACACUAGAUAUUUGGAAUUGAACAGAGGAGUAAUUGUAUUGGAUAGCUGGAAUUAAAUAUUGGAGGAAGUUACAUCGGAGCUCGGAUUGCGGCAUAGUCGUCUAACUGGCUCGUCUGUAUUGUGUGGACGACAAGAUGGGGAAGUCUAAGGCGUCUACGGGACGAAAGGGCAAAGGAAAGCGGAGAGAGCCAGCGCUUCAAAACAGUGACCCGAUCAGGGGGACAACGCCAGCUCCACAUUCUCGAGUGACGAGACGCGGCUCGAGGAGUAACCCAGCCGCUUCGGCGGGGCGGGAGCGCCAAGGAGACCAGACUCCGACGGGGGGGGGCCAACAUCACAGAAUCCCUAGAAACGGCGAAUCAACCGUCUAUUGUCCAUCCUCCACCCGGUGCCCAGGCUCACCGGGUUUGGGUGUGCGGAGACAUUCUCGUGAGGCGAGCUGGUGAGCGGGCGUUUACCAGAGGCUGUCGAGACCUGGGAAUCGCUGGUUGUGAGGUGGCAUGGCACGGGCGAGGAGGGGCGUCGCUAUACGCGAUUUCCCGCGUCAAUUACAGGGCCAAGUGAGGUUCGGUCCUUCUCCAUCGGAGCUAAUCAUCCAUGCGGGCUCGAACGACUUGGGGCGUUAUUUUGCAAAGGACUGUCGACAAGCGGUGGAUGAAGCACUGAAUACAGCGCGGUCAUUGUUGCCGCAAUGCUACACUUCAUUUUCAAGCAUCUUACUCGCCUGUAUUACUAUGGUCAUGAUGUACACGUCACGUCGCAGGUCGUCAUCAAUGAUGUGCGGAAAGGUGUCAACAAGUAUGCCAGACGGAGGGUCCGGCGUAUGUGUAGUGGAUCAUUCAUAGGCCACAAUUUCAAUGUCCAAGAACACUGGUAUUUUCACAGAGAUGGCGUGCAUCUGUCUGAUGAGGGAUGUGAUCUUCUCGUGGAGAACUUUGCGUCAGCGGUUCGAUUUGCUCUUAAUCUUUGAAACUUUAUUUUGUGCAUGCCCUUUGUUUUAUUGCGGGCAAUCAGGAGUAUAUUGAAAUUUAAAGAGUAGAUUACGAUUUAAAAUGGUUUAUUGACAGGCUGACAAAAUGUAGGUCAAGAGGUUGUUUACAUUUUUGAGGGAAAUUCACGCGCUAGGAAAUGUAAUACUUUGUAUUACAUUGGAAGGAAAUGUACAAGCGUAUGUACGCUUAUCAAGCAAGCGCGGAAAAUACCGCCAGCAAAUUACAAAUAGCACGAAGGGGCUUUCAUUCUAGUUAUGGCUGUCAUUUGAAUGGACAAGAAGAAAAAUGUACGGAGUCUGAAACAUUCCCACCACCUCCCCAUUAUCUCCACCAAUAAAAGUAUUUUUAGUAUAUUAGUGGCAUAAAUUAAAUAUUGCUUGGUGGUUCGAAGUAGCCAAGGUAUACGUAUUAGUACGGAAAGGAUUUAGGGUUUCAGGUAUGAAAGGUACGGAUAGGGUUUAUGUAAUAAAUUGGUCAGUGAUUUAUGAAGUUAAUGCAGAGCCGGGGGCAUUUGGCCUGGUCGCACAUCAAGCGUCGUGCACAAAGACAGUGGGCCGUAGGGGAAUUUUCCCAUUGGGUUUCGCCCCUACCCGGUUUUGUAUGGGUAAAUCACUAAUCACAUGGUACUGAUAAGUUUAUUGAUCGAUGAUUGUCAUCCAAUAAUUUUCGACCCCACUCAUUUUUACAUGCGAGGGGGUUGCCAAUGUAUAUUCAGUCGAAUUUGUUCGCAUGUCAAUUCUUAGUUUUCCGGCCCCCAUUCGAUUUGAAUGCGGGGGGACCUAGUUGUACCUACACAUUUUCAAACUCAGGGUGUCACGCUUUAAUCUUAGGCAUCAUCCGAUCUUACAGGCGGAGAGGCUGGUAUAUAUAUACAUCUAUUUUCUAUAACUUUAGGCAUCACUCGAUUUUAUAGGCGGGGGGCUGAUAUAAUGACUUAAUGUAUAUAAGUUUAGCCUUGGCAUCACUCGAUUUCAUAGACGGGGGGCCUCGCAUUUGUAAGCAUUUUUUAUGAUUCAAUAUAUCUGUGUUAUUUGUUAUGACACCCAGGAAAUCAAAAUGUGCAAAAUAAGCGUCCAUCUCAAAAUGUUAAUAAAGCCACAAAAAUAACGCAAAGUUGAUUGUUUGUUAUUUUUGUUAGCCGUGCAUAAAUUUUGCCACAUGCCCAGGUUCUAUUUCGCUAGGCAAAAAAAAAAAAAAAAAAAAAAAAAAAAUUGGGUUGUUGGGAUUUGGAGUUUGUUCUUUUGUUUCGUUCCUGAACUAUAAUCAUUUCCAGUAUGCCUCAAGGAGAGGAAUGGCCAAGAGCGCCAUGAACCGACGGUGGGGACAGGCUGCGAUUACCAGAUCUUGUGUAGGGAACCAAUGGCCCAGGAAACUGGGCCUGCUGGGUAGAGCACCGUCUUCCCAGCUGGUCACGUGACCCGUGACCCUCGGGUUCCCAUAUUUGUGGAAUCGCAGUCUGUCGCCUUCCGCCAUUGCAAACAAAUAAUUAUGGAAAUGGUUUUAUAUGAUUUCAUAUCUAUGUUAUGUAAUAAUAUGUCAAGUUGGAAAUAUGCUACCGCAAAAACUCGAACGGAAAUAUGUAAAUGGUUUUUGUAUGAUUUUAUAUCUAUGUUAAUAGUAUGUCAAGUUGGAAAUAUGCUACCGCUAAAACUCGAACGGAAUUAUAGAAAUGUUUCUAUAUGAUUUCUUAUCUAUGUUGAUAAUAUGUCAAGUUGGAAAUAAGCCAACUCAAACGGAAGAAUUAAAAGUUGAGAAAAAGGCAA
This is a long non-coding RNA of Strongylocentrotus purpuratus (purple sea urchin), 3358 nucleotides long. RefSeq lists it as uncharacterized. The record is from RefSeq and is a predicted model, not a curated record. NCBI's taxonomy places the organism in Eukaryota, Metazoa, Echinodermata, Echinoidea, Camarodonta, Strongylocentrotidae. The transcript is spliced from 2 exons.